RNAcentral lists this ribosomal RNA (337 nucleotides) under uncultured bacterium. RNAcentral's name for it is "bacterial SSU rRNA". It matches the Rfam family "Bacterial small subunit ribosomal RNA", at positions 8 to 334 of the family's 1533-position model. The record is from RNAcentral.
AGGGUUUGAUCAUGGCUCAGGACGAACGCUGGCGGCGUGCUUAACACAUGCAAGUCGAGCGGAGAUGUUCGGAGUGCUUGCACACUGAACAUUUCAGCGGCGGACGGGUGAGUAACGCGUGAACAAUCUGUCCCAUACAGGGGGAUAACAGAUGGAAACAUCUGCUAAUACCGCAUAAGACCACGAAGCCACAUGGCUAUGGGGUAAAAGGAGCAAUCCGGUAUGGGGUGAGUUCGCGUCCGAUUAGCUUGUUGGUGAGGUAACGGCCCACCAAGGCGACGAUCGGUAGCCGACCUGAGAGGGUGAUCGGCCACACUGGAACUGAGAGACGGUCCAG